Non-coding RNA from Potamilus streckersoni, 75 nucleotides. NCBI's taxonomy places the organism in Eukaryota, Metazoa, Mollusca, Bivalvia, Unionida, Unionidae. The record is from the annotation of a GenBank genome assembly.
UGCUCUGGUGGCCUAGUGGUUGGAGCAUCCGCCUCAGAUGUGGGAGGUCGUGGGUUCAAUCCCCCAGUCGAGUCA